This is a long non-coding RNA of Oncorhynchus tshawytscha (Chinook salmon), 632 nucleotides long. The record is from Ensembl. Lineage: Eukaryota; Metazoa; Chordata; Actinopteri; Salmoniformes; Salmonidae.
CUCCAUAGAUACAGAGGGUUAGAGAGGUUCUCCAUAGAUACAGAGGGUUAGAGAGGUUCUCCAUAGAUACAGAGGGUUAGAGAGGUUCUCCAUAGGAUACAGAGGGUUAGAGAGGUUCUCCAUAGAUACAGAGGGUUAGAGGUUCUCCAUAGAUACAGAGGGUUAGAGAGGUUCUCCAUAGAUACAGAGGGUUAGAGAGGUUCUCCAUAGGAUACAGAGGGUUAGAGGUUCUCCAUAGGAUACAGAGGGUUAGAGAGGUUCUCCAUAGAUACAGAGGGUUAGAGGUUCUCCAUAGGAUACAGAGGGUUAGAGAGGUUCUCCAUAGAUACAGAGGUUAGAGAGGUUCUCCAUAGGAUACAGAGGGUUAGAGAGGUUCUCCAUAGAUACAGAGGGUUAGAGGUUCUCCAUAGGAUACAGAGGGUUAGAGGUUCUCCAUAGAUACAGAGGGUUAGAGGUUCUCCAUAGAUACAGAGGGUUAGAGAGGUUCUCCAUAGAUACAGAGGGGUAGAUACAGAGGGUUAGAGAGGUUCUCCAUAGAUACAGAGGGUUAGAGAGGUUCUCCAUAGAUACAGAGGGUUAGAGAGGUUCUCCAUAGAUACAGAGGGUUAGAGAGGUUCUCCAUAGAUACAGAG